This 466-nucleotide ribosomal RNA is filed under the name Mycobacterium heraklionense. Its description in RNAcentral is "Mycolicibacter heraklionensis bacterial SSU rRNA". It matches the Rfam family "Bacterial small subunit ribosomal RNA", at positions 48 to 516 of the family's 1533-position model. Lineage: Bacteria; Bacillati; Actinomycetota; Actinomycetes; Mycobacteriales; Mycobacteriaceae. The record is from RNAcentral.
CUUACCAUGCAAGUCGAACGGAAAGGCCCUUUCGGGGGUACUCGAGUGGCGAACGGGUGAGUAACACGUGGGUGAUCUGCCCUGCACUUUGGGAUAAGCCUGGGAAACUGGGUCUAAUACCGAAUAGGACCGCAUGCUUCAUGGUGUGUGGUGGAAAGCUUUUGCGGUGUGGGAUGGGCCCGCGGCCUAUCAGCUUGUUGGUGGGGUAAUGGCCUACCAAGGCGACGACGGGUAGCCGGCCUGAGAGGGUGUCCGGCCACACUGGGACUGAGAUACGGCCCAGACUCCUACGGGAGGCAGCAGUGGGGAAUAUUGCACAAUGGGCGCAAGCCUGAUGCAGCGACGCCGCGUGGGGGAUGACGGCCUUCGGGUUGUAAACCUCUUUCAGUAUCGGCGAAGCUCCGGGAUUUUUCUUGGGGUGACGGUAGGUACAGAAGAAGCACCGGCCAACUACGUGCCAGCCGCC